RNAcentral lists this ribosomal RNA (529 nucleotides) under uncultured archaeon. RNAcentral describes it as "bacterial SSU rRNA". It matches the Rfam family "Archaeal small subunit ribosomal RNA", at positions 53 to 588 of the family's 1478-position model. The record is from RNAcentral.
GCGAGUCUUUGCAGUAAUGCAAGGCAUACGGCUCAGCAACACGUAGUCAACUUACCCUAUGGACGAGGAUAAUCUCGGGAAACUGAGCAUAAUACUCGAUAGAUCAUAAUGCCUGGAAUGGUUUAUGGUUAAAAUGAUUCGUCGCCAUAGGAUGGGACUGCGGCCUAUCAGCUUGUUGGUGAGGUAAUGGCCCACCAAGGCGAUUACAGGUACGGGCUCUGAGAGGAGAAGCCCGGAGAUGGGUACUGAGACAAGGACCCAGGCCCUAUGGGGCGCAGCAGGCGAGAAAACAUUGCAAUGUGCGAAAGCACGACAAGGUUAGUCCGAGUGAUUUCUGCUAAAGAGAUCUUUUGCUAGUCAUAAAACCACUAGUGAAUAAGGGGUGGGCAAGUUCUGGUGUCAGCCGCCGCGGUAAAACCAGCACCUCAAGUGGUCAGGAUGAUUAUUGGGCCUAAAGCAUCCGUAGCCGGCUCUGUAAGUUUUCGGUUAAAUCUAUGCGCUCAACGUAUGGGCUGCCGAAAAUACUGCA